GUGUUCAAUGGUUUCUUCUCCAAGUUUACAAAAAGUACAUAACUUGGUAUCUUUUAAUUUGAUUUUGUACAAAAAGGUAUUAGUUGCUAUAAUUCUAUGCAAAAAUUUAUAUUGAAAGGUUCUUAAAUAAGCAUCUCUACAAGACUUUUUUGUUAUCAUGAAAUACUCUGACCAUUCUGUAGUAUCAAUAACUAACAGCUCUGCCCAUUUCAAAAAUUUAAUUGUUGGUAGUUGAAUAACUUCAUCUACUAAGUUUUUAUAUACAAAUUUGGCUUUCACAUUACACCUGAUUUUUUUUAAGAAAGUAUCACCAGUGUUAGACUUAUCUAAAUCUUGAUUUAGACAGUUAUCUUUAAGGCAUUUUUUCAUAGCGUUAGGGAUUUUUGAUAUCAAACCAUAAUAUUUAAUAAAAUUGUUGGUUUGUACUUUUUCUUGAAAUUGCUCAAAUUUAUAAAAAAUCAUAUUUUCACGAUUAAUAAGGUCACUUACUGACUGCACACCCCCCUUUUCCCAUUGAAUGUAAUAUGGGAAAUCAUCCAAAGAAGAAAAGUUCAAAAUAUCUAAGGAUAAAAUGUCACUGACAGAAAUCUCAGUAAUAGGUUUUGCAGCGGAAAAGCAUAGUAAAACAUCCUUCCAGAAAGAAUUUUUACAUCUUUUAGCAAUCUCAAUCAGCUUUUCUUUCUGAAGAUUUAAAACCCUUUCACCCCCAUACUGCAUAAGGUCUGCCAGUAACAACUGCUGCCAGCCACCGCUAGGGUUUGCCAGCAGUCUUUUUAUCCAACUAAUUUUCAAAUAGAUAUUAAAUGAAUGAAGAUGUACCAUAUUAAGUCCACCUUGUGAAAUAUUACCAACAAGUGUGUUUCGCUUAAUUCUGUCUGGUUUUCCAUUCCAUAUGAAAUCAUAAAAUAAUGAAGUGAGCUCUGUUAACCUGGAGUGUGAUAGGUUUGGUAAUGCAGUCAAUAAAUGGACCAACUUUGAAAGAGCAAGUGAUUUAAUUACUGUAAUUUUUCCUAAUAAUGUGAGUUUUCGAUGUUGCCAGCUCUUCAGAAUUGCAGAGACCUCUUUAAUUUUCUUAGCAAAAUUAAUUUCUGUGAUACAGCUUAAAUCUAAAGAAAAUUCAAUCCCCAAAAGUUUAAAAUUUGAAUGUGACCAAUGAAGUUUUAAGUCUGGACAUAAAAUAAGAUCAGAAUAUUUUUUACUUCCAACCCAUAGUGCUUUUGUCUUUGAAGCAUUUAUUUUCAAACCUGAAAUUUUAUAAAAAGAUUCAAAACAUGAAAGUGUUUCCCUCAACGAUAUUUCCCUUCCAUCUAACAUAAGGAAUGUGUCAUCUGCGUACAUGCUUAAAAGUGAUUCAUCAUCAUUGAUAGUAAUUCCCCUUAUGUCAGGAUUACCUUUUAAUUUCAAAGAUAAUAAUUCAACCCCAAUUAUAAAUAAAUAGGGAGAAAGAGGAUCUCCUUGUCUGCAACCUCUUUCUAAAUGAAAAAACUUAGACAUGUGUCCAUUAUUUAUAACACAACUUGAUGCCCCUGAGUAUAAAGUUUCAAACCAUCUACAUAAAGAAGGCCCAAAAUUAAAGCUUUUCAAAGUAUUUUUAAAAAUAACCAUUCCAAGGAAUCAAAUGCCUUUUCAAAAUCAACAAGUAAUAAAAGACCUGUCUUAUUAUUUUCCUCAAGAUAGUGCAUCAAAUCAUAUAAAAGGCGUGUGUUCUCACCCAUAAAUCUGUCUUUAAUGAAACCUUUUUGUGUGUCACUUAUGAUAAAUGGUAAAACGGGUUUAAGUCUAUUAGCUAUAACAGCAGAAGCUAUUUUCAUAUCAGUAUUCAAAAGACUAAUAGGACGCCAGUUACUAAUAUACUGUCUGUCUUUUCCCUCUUUAGGAAUGCAAGUUAUUAUACUUUGAUACUGAAAAUCAGAAAAUUUACCCCCCGCAUAUCCAAAGUGAAGAGAUCGAAAGACAAAAGGGCCAAUAUCUUUCCAAAAAAAUUUAUAAAAAUCUACAGAAUACCCAUCAGAACCAGGACUUUUACCAUUUGUCAUAAAUUUUAAAGAUUCAGCACAUUCUUUAAAAGUUAAAUUUCCUUCACAAAGAUCACUUUGUUCUUCUGUAAGCUUAAUGUUAUGAUUAAAAAAUGAUGUAUCAUUGCAAUCUAAUUUUUUGCUUGAGUACAAAUUUUUAUAAAAAUUUUGUU
This 2188-nucleotide long non-coding RNA is filed under the name Mytilus galloprovincialis (Mediterranean mussel). The record is from RNAcentral. Lineage: Eukaryota; Metazoa; Mollusca; Bivalvia; Mytilida; Mytilidae.